This 697-nucleotide ribosomal RNA is filed under the name uncultured Flavobacteriia bacterium. RNAcentral's name for it is "bacterial SSU rRNA". It matches the Rfam family "Bacterial small subunit ribosomal RNA", at positions 60 to 748 of the family's 1533-position model. Lineage: Bacteria; Pseudomonadati; Bacteroidota; Flavobacteriia. The record is from RNAcentral.
AGUCGAGGGGUAACAGGGAUUAGUUUACUAAUUUGCUGACGACCGGCGCACGGGUGAGUAACGCGUAUACAAUUUGCCUUUUACAGGAGGAUAGCCCAGAGAAAUUUGGAUUAAUACUCCAUGGUAUUACGGAAUCGCAUGGUUUUGUAAUUAAAGUUUCGGCGGUAGAAGAUGAGUAUGCGUCCUAUUAGCUAGUUGGUAAGGUAACGGCUUACCAAGGCGACGAUAGGUAGGGGUCCUGAGAGGGAGAUCCCCCACACUGGUACUGAGACACGGACCAGACUCCUACGGGAGGCAGCAGUGAGGAAUAUUGGUCAAUGGAGGCAACUCUGAACCAGCCAUGCCGCGUGCAGGAAGACUGCCCUAUGGGUUGUAAACUGCUUUUAUACAGGAAGAAACUUAUCCACGUGUGGAUAACUGACGGUACUGUACGAAUAAGGACCGGCUAACUCCGUGCCAGCAGCCGCGGUAAUACGGAGGGUCCAGGCGUUAUCCGGAAUCAUUGGGUUUAAAGGGUCCGUAGGCGGGCGAUUAAGUCAGGGGUGAAAUCCCACAGCUCAACUGUGGAACUGCCUUUGAUACUGGUUGUCUUGAGUGACAGUGAAGUAGAUAGAAUAUGUAGUGUAGCGGUGAAAUGCAUAGAUAUUACAUAGAAUACCGAUUGCGAAGGCAGUCUACUAACUGUGAACUGACGCUA